AUCGAUUGUAUUAUCUUCAAGAAGGUGGCUCCUCGUAUAAAUAGGGUCGCAUUAUUUGAAGAAAGACGGUGGUGAGCACAAUCUGCUAGCUGUUCUCUCUCUCUCUCUCUUUCUCUCUCUCUCUCUCCUCUCGGGACCGCAGACAACGCCUGGAAGAAUUUGCUGAAGACAUCUCUGUCCACUUUCCAGGACAUAAGCAUAUUUAAAUCCUAAACUAACAGUGAAGUCAUGCAGGUGGAGAGGAAAUGGCACAUACUCUUGUCUAUAUUCUUUCUGCUCAUCACCUCAGGCCAGUGCAUGGACAGCAAGGACAUGAAGCAGAAAGAAAGAAGGACCCUGUUGGAUCUUAUCUUACAGGUUAUCAGAGACAGCCAGCACCGGGACAAAGGCGUCUCCAGGCGCUGUAGCAGUGGACUCCUCACUUCAGCCCAAGACAUGAAGUUCUCCUCCCGGGAAAAGCCUUACUAUGUUCCUAGGCUGGAUAACAGUAGACUCAUAGAAAUUUUUCCUAGAGAUGUAAACAUGAAAGACAAAUUCAUUCAGCAUUUCACAGG
Molecule: non-coding RNA, 554 nt
Organism: Labrus bergylta (ballan wrasse)
Lineage: Eukaryota; Metazoa; Chordata; Actinopteri; Labriformes; Labridae
Source: RefSeq, a predicted model, not a curated record